GACGAACGCUGGCGGCGUGCUUAACACAUGCAAGUCGAACGGAAAGGCCCUGCUUUUGUGGGGUGCUCGAGUGGCGAACGGGUGAGUAACACGUGAGUAACCUGCCCUUUACUUUGGGAUAACUUCAGGAAACUGGGGCUAAUACCGGAUAGGAGCUCCUGCUGCAUGGUGGGGGUUGGAAAGUUUCGGCGGUUGGGGAUGGACUCGCGGCUUAUCAGCUUGUUGGUGGGGUAGUGGCUUACCAAGGCUUUGACGGGUAUCCGGCCUGAGAGGGUGACCGGCAACAAUGGGACGGAGAUACGGCACAGAAUGAUACGGGAGGAAGCAGUGGGGAAUAGUGCAAAAUGGGAGGAAGCAUGAUGAAGAAAAGGAGCGUGCGGGAUGACGGCCUUCGGGUUGUAAAACGAAUUAGAAUGUGACGAAGCGUGAGUGACGGUAAUGGGUAAAGAAGCACCGGCUAACUACGUG
Molecule: ribosomal RNA, 468 nt
Filed under: uncultured bacterium
Lineage: Bacteria
Description: partial 16S ribosomal RNA
Rfam family: Bacterial small subunit ribosomal RNA
Source: RNAcentral